GAUGAAGAACGUAGCGAAAUGCGAUAAGUAAUGUGAAUUGCAGAAUUCAGUGAAUCAUCGAAUCUUUGAACGCACAUUGCGCCCGCCAGUAUUCUGGCGGGCAUGCCUGUUCGAGCGUCAUUUCAACCGUCAAGCCCUGCUUGCGUUGGGGUCCUGCGGCUGCCCGCAGGCCCUGAAAACCAGUGGCGGGCUCGCUAGUCACACCGAGCGCAGUAGUACAUCUCGCUUUGGGCGUGCGGCGGGUUCUUGCCGUUAAACAUCCCCUUUUUACCAAGGUUGACCUCGGAUCAGGUAGGAAUACCCGCUGAACUUAAGCAUAUCAAUAAGCGGAGGA
RNAcentral lists this unclassified non-coding RNA (334 nucleotides) under soil metagenome. Its description in RNAcentral is "partial contains 5.8S ribosomal RNA, internal transcribed spacer 2, and large subunit ribosomal RNA". The stretch from base 1 to 120 matches the Rfam family "5.8S ribosomal RNA", at positions 35 to 154 of the family's 154-position model. The record is from RNAcentral.